UAGACAAAUAAAACCCAUUUUCGUUUCUUGAUAGCUUUUAUAGCAAUGAAUAAUACUGAUUUAUAAACAUCUAUAAACACCCUUUUCAAAUUUUAAGAUAUUAUUGGAUUUAUAAUGUUUUUGUUGUUUAUAGUUCUCAAUAAAUAAUAAAUUAUCUAUCACUAUCUAAAAGCAGGGAUUAAGAGCUUAUUAAACUAUGGAGAGUUCAAAAAAAGUUCCAAAACUAAGGAUGGAGUCAACACCGACAUCAAACAGUUCAACUAUAAGUGAUCGUCCAAAAAGCUACCAAAACUAUAUAACCAUGAGGACACCUUCUCAUGUUAAUUAUAACAACCCUCUGUUUGGUCGACCUGAACAAGAUUCUGAUGGAAAGCAGGAAAACUAAAACUGCAAAGAGGACCCGCUUGAAAUGAACCUAAACCAGUCAGUCAAAGAAAAAGCAGACUACUACAAACAUUCUCGCGCUUUUUAAGUACAAUUCUAAAAUAAUGCAAGUUUCAUGCGUCAUUGUCAAUCCCUUUUGUUAUGCAUCAUUUUAACAUACAUAUAUGGAAGAUUAAACAUUU
Mya arenaria is the source of this 566-nucleotide long non-coding RNA. RefSeq lists it as uncharacterized. The transcript is spliced from 3 exons. Lineage: Eukaryota; Metazoa; Mollusca; Bivalvia; Myida; Myidae. The record is from RefSeq and is a predicted model, not a curated record.